CACCCCACCCCCAGAAAGGUCUAGAAUCUUGCCAGGAACCAAAGAUUAUAACACAGCAUUGGAGCCAAAAAUUGCUUAUGCGAGAACUUGAUGCGAAUCAGAUGACCGCUUCUCUUUUGGUGGAACUUGGGAUGUCUUCGAGAUCCUGCCUAUGAGCCGAACAAGGGCAACAGCAACAGACACCCCAACGGGCCCAUGAAACUAAGCUCACUUCCGUUUUACGACAUUUCCGGACAGAGACUCAAGCCUUUCACUCCACCAUGGGUCCUAGAUCAGGACCUGUCUAUGCCAGGAAAGAGGAAAAUACCAUUGUGGCCCAGUCGGCCUGCAGGUCACGAGACAAAACAGACAACCAGCUGUGCCCCGGGUUCCAGGAACUACAGAAAAUCACAGACCUUGGAAUACGAAGACCACCAGCAACAGGACUGGCAAAGGACUAGGCUUCGGGUUGUGUUUUACCCCGGCCUCUGGUUAUGUGACUAGCUAAGAGGGAAACUAGGCACCAAGGCAAAGGUGAGGUGACCGGGCAAGUCUAAAGUUGUACUGAGUAGAGGCAAAGACUGCACAAGAAUGAAAGAAAAAGACCAAGUAAUGAGGGGCAUGAGCUAAUGUCCAACCCUGACUGAACAAAUUAUUUUCCCACACAUGUAUUCCGAAGACUGAAGAAACAGUAUUACAUACACUCUUUUGAGCGCUUUCUGACCAACAUUUUUCUAUUAAAGGUUAUGCUUCUCGGGAGCCAGUAUCAAAGCUUCUUGUGGCUUGUCAGUAAAUUUAAGAGGCCAAAUCUGUGUAAAUUUAAAUUACAUAAAACCUCUCCCUCAAUUGCCUGGUCUCAGAAUAGCCCCUUUCACUGGGCAUUAUCAUCAGGGAAUAUAAACGCCUUUAUCAUAGGAGCCCAGGCUUUUGAAAUCUUGGCAUAAUCGAAUUUCCUCCUCCCAAGGCAUAUCAAACAACAUUGCAGAAUGGAGUCUAAUUUGCUUUUUAACCAAAAGGUUCUUUCCUCUGCUUAUUUGAAGACUAUUUCUAUAUAACAAAUGCAGUGUUCUCUAUGACCACCCCCCUGCCAGAUGGCAGUGCCUGGAAGCCUACACGGUCACCCUAAGGGCAAAGAUUGACGGAAUUGUGAGGGAAAAAAACAGCAGGACACUCUGUGCAUCGGGGAGACAGUGGGGACCGCAUGAGCAGACACCUGAAAGCAUCAAAAGCUACCCUGAACCCCAAGCAGAUGAUUCAAGGCUGAGAAUACAUUCUGAUGCCGACACAGACAAUGGAACAGACAGACAAGGUCAGACGCAGGAAAUGUGGUACUUGGAGCACCGUUAGCCCGGACUAGCAUGAGCCUCUGGGGAUUCUCUAUGGAAGUAAGUGGAUGGACUGCAGAAAAGACACAUGGGUUCCCUUUCUGUUCUAAGCCUUUUUCUUCCCAACCUUUGAGGGGUUUUGAAUAUAUAAGGAAUUUAGCACGGGGUGUAGGGGAUUCAGUGUCUUGGCCAAAGAAUUUGCCUUGAGGCUCACAAGAUCUUCCUAGUAUAUAUGCUAAAUUUUUAUGAUUUACAUUUAGAAGCAGCUCGGUGAGGGGGCUCUUGGGCUCUGGUCUCCGGGCUCCAGGCUCCAGGCUCAGGUGGGCAUCAGUUGAUAACAAGAGAUCUGAGGAGAUCAUGAUAAUCAUUUUGUUCUACUUCAUUGUUCUUAAUGGGACUGUCUUAGAGCUAAGGCUGCAUCUGAUUCCGAUCAUGCACUGAAGAAGAGUCAGGGGCCCACUAGAUGGCAGCAGAUGGUAAGAAAUGUGAACUGAGGCCGCCUCCUGGAGAGCUAGGCUUGCAGCCCUCCAUUUUGCUUUGCAUCUUUAAUGAGAUAUGUGAGGAAAAUGAGUCCCUUACAUGCCAGUUACAGAUGCCACAGCAUAUGGAGAGAUACCGCAUAGCAAUCUUUCUCUGUUUAUUAAACAGGAGGCAGCUAACGAGUCACUCGCUGCACCCUGCUGCCAUUGUCCUUUAAGUUGCUGGAUACUGUUGUUGACAAGGUAAUAACAAGAGAAAGAGGGUUAAGCAGAAUGACAGAGAGGUGUGGACUUCGAGAUUACAAGGCGUCGUCAAGUUGAGGUACAGAGCAAAUCACUAGCGAAGGGCGAGAGACCCUGGGUAGCUUUCUGCUACCACAUGCCUCCCCUGGGGCGUCCGCUGCUCUCUCCUCUCCUUGGCAGACCUUGGGGGUUCAUUUAUCUAGAGCCUCUAUUACCACUAGACAAGCUUGGUGGUCUGACCUUUCACCACAAACCCCAAAUGGGAAAGGGAGCUCUGGGCAUUUUAAAGAGCAAACUGCACUUGCUGUUGUAGCAGACUGAAAAGACAUCGCAUGACCGGAAUGCGUUAGGAUGCAUCCACCUAUGGGGGCCUGCUUUCUAAGCUGCCCAAAACAAAAGUAGGGGUCCACUCUUGCUGGCUGCAGACAUAACACACCACGGUGUGUGGUGUGUCCCAGGUCUGAAGCUAAUUUUGCUGUUUCAUUUCUGUAUUUCUGUAAUUCUUUUUUCUUUCUUUCUUUUUUCCCCAUUUACCGAGUACAACAAUUUGCUAUUGAUUUCUUCUAACCCAGGUCUUCGGACGCCCUGGGUGGUUUCUGAGAACAGGUUACAAAUCCAGACACCCCUCUUCUGCCUGUUAAGAAACUGGACUGUCCUCCAUUAACCACAAGGCCCGCGGUUACCAGGACUUCUCAGAGUCAUUCAUUAAAAUCUUCAUAUUGAGACGUCUCCUGCAGGACCAAACUCACAGAAGCAUCCAACAUGGCUGCCGUGACUAGGAUGGAGGCCUCUCCGGAGACAGAAUAAACACAUUGAUGGGAGUCACAGCUCCGUGUUCUUGUGUCUGCAAAGAGCUAAUCAAAGGCCCGCCCCUUUCUACGAUACCUCCUCGGCACAGAGCAUGGCCAUUUGUUUGUGGACAGAACGUUGUUCUCCAAUGCCCUACCUAUAAAUAUGUAAAGGCAAGAGACAAGACCAUUACUUUAGGGCACUGCUGUGCACUGCUGUUGGACAUCAUUAUGAAGGAAAGACUAUAAGCCCCAAGCAGAUAAAAUGCACAAAAGCCAGAGAGUCUACCAACAAGACACAAGCAUUUAGUGUUAUCCUGAAUUAGCCUCGUUUAUUUAUCGUCGUUCAUUUGAAACCAUGAAGCCCUUAUGCCUUGUAAAUCAAUACGCUAAAUGCUGUGGAAAUACAAAUUAAAAAUGAGUACUUGUCAAAUACGGACUACACUCAGCAGGUACCAGCGCCUCACUUUUAUCCUUUUAAACCAUGAGAGGUGAAAAUUAAAUCCUACUGAAUUACAUCAAUUUUCCACCUGAAAAUAAAAGCACGGUCCCCGAUUCCCUGAAGGACAAAUGAAUUACACACAUUCGAAAUCAAGGCCAGCAAUUAACAUCUUAAUCAUGGGUCCUUGAUAGCCUACCCACGAUUCUAAAAGUCUGGAAAACUGUAAAUAUUUAUAUACAUAGAUGCAGUAGUUAGAUUAAAGAUGUAUGAUAAACGGAUGAGUGUGUCACUGGAUGGAUGCAUGGAUGCAUGGAUGGUAGCACAGUAAAGUGGCUGAGUUCAAGUUCAGAUUGAAAGCUAGAUUUCUAGGUCUCCUCUUAUUACCUCACUAGCCACAUGACCUUGGGCACGUUACUUUGUGCUUUCCUUUUCUCAGCAAAGCUUUCAUGGGAGAAUUAUUCCUAAAAUUAAGUGAACUGUCCAGUGCCAACAUAUUUAGCAUAAGGUUUGGUACACAGGAAACACAUUAUCAAGUACCUAUGGUUGUGACGAGUGGGGAUAAUUACUACAUUUUCCUGUAGUUGAUUGGAUUGAGCUUUUAGCAAGUCGUUUACAAAAAUUAAGCCAUUAAGCCUCUCUCUGGCCCUGGGAAUAUGGAUCAGUCAAUAAUUUACUUUUCCGGCACAUGUAAGGACCUGAGUUCAUAUCUCCCAAAAACAUAUAAGAAAGUAGAACACAGUAGUACACAGUUGUAGUCCUAGCACCAGAAGGUCAAGAGCAGGAGGAUCACUCUGAACCUUCCUGGCCAGCUGAAUUGCUGUUCCAAGUUCAGCCAAAGAUUCUGUUUCAAUAAAAUAAGGUAGAAAGCAAGAGAGGAAGACAUCCAACAUCAACCUCUGCUCUCCAUGGGUACCCACAUGCACACAUACACUUGCAUACACACACAUGCAUGUACUACAAACACAUACAAACAGAGAGAAUCAAGUCGGUCUCUUGGAAACUUAAGCAUUCUUCUGUAUUGGCAUCCCAACUAGUAAGAACUAAAGAUCAAUGGGAGUUUAGAGAAACACAAUUGAAAAGACCUUCAAAUUCCUUUUCAGAGGAUGUUGCAAAGGAUGCUGAUAAAUUAUUAAUAAGGACCUACUACAUAGGAAAAAGCAAAUAGGAAGGUAAUUUUUGUUUGACCCUCAUAAAACGAGCAAGCAUGGACUUUGUGAGAUAUUAAAAUACAAUGCCUCCACUCAUUAAGUGGGUAGGAUAAUGGAAUAACU
This 4527-nucleotide small RNA is filed under the name Rattus norvegicus (Norway rat). Its description in RNAcentral is "uncharacterized LOC108353025". Lineage: Eukaryota; Metazoa; Chordata; Mammalia; Rodentia; Muridae. The record is from RNAcentral.